This 531-nucleotide long non-coding RNA is filed under the name Jatropha curcas. RNAcentral's name for it is "long non-coding RNA (JCUR_LNC001072)". Lineage: Eukaryota; Viridiplantae; Streptophyta; Magnoliopsida; Malpighiales; Euphorbiaceae. The record is from RNAcentral.
GACCUUGAUUCUCACAAAUUGCAAGCAUUUACUGAUGCCUACUCUGAGCUUGAGUCAACUCUAUCCGGCUUGAAUGUUGUUGUCGAGACCUACUUUGCUGAUGUACCUGCUGAGGCAUUCAAGACCCUCACAUCUUUGAAGGGUGUCACUGGAUAUGGUUUUGAUUUGGUUCGUGGAACUAAAACUCUUGACUUGAUCAAGAGUGAUUUCCCCAAGGGGAAAUACCUAUUUGCUGGAGUGGUUGAUGGAAGGAACAUCUGGGCCAAUGAUCUUGCUUCUUCUCUCAGCACCCUUCAGGAACUUGAGGGCAUUGUUGGCAAAGGUACUAAUCCAACUUGCAUUUUUCUGCCACUUAGAUUUAGAUUUUUUUCGACGUACAUGAGUUGAUUAUGUUUUCUCUUUGCAGACAAACUUGUAGUCUCCACCUCUUCCUCACUUCUGCACACUGCUGUUGAUCUCGUCAAUGAGACCAAGUUGGACCAGGAAAUCAAAUCAUGGCUUGCAUUUGCUGCCCAGAAAGUUGUUGAAGUG